Molecule: ribosomal RNA, 460 nt
Filed under: uncultured bacterium
Lineage: Bacteria
Description: partial 16S ribosomal RNA
Rfam family: Bacterial small subunit ribosomal RNA
Source: RNAcentral
CCUACGGGAGGCAGCAGUGAGGAAUAUUGGUCAAUGGGCGUAAGCCUGAACCAGCCAAGUCGCGUGAGGGAUGAAGGUGCUAUGGAUUGUAAACCUCUUUUAUAAGGGGAUAAAGUGCGGGACGUGACCCGUAUUGUAUGUACCUUAUGAAUAAGGAUCGGCUAACUCCGUGCCAGCAGCCGCGGUAAUACGGAGGAUGCGAGCGUUAUCCGGAUUUAUUGGGUUUAAAGGGUGCGUAGGCGGCUUGUUAAGUCAGCGGUGAAAGUUUGCGGCUCAACCAUAGAAUUGCCGUUGAAACUGGGAGUCUUGAGUAUAGUUGAGGCAGGCGGAAUGCGUGGUGUAGCGGUGAAAUGCUUAGAUAUCACGAAGAACCCCGAUUGCGAAGGCAGCCUGCUAAGCCACGACUGACGCUGAUGCACGAAAGCGUGGGGAUCAAACAGGAUUAGAUACCCGGGUAGUC